RNAcentral lists this ribosomal RNA (301 nucleotides) under uncultured bacterium. Its description in RNAcentral is "partial 16S ribosomal RNA". It matches the Rfam family "Bacterial small subunit ribosomal RNA", at positions 509 to 807 of the family's 1533-position model. The record is from RNAcentral.
CAGUAGCCGCGGUAAUACGUAGGGUGCAAGCGUUAAUCGGAAUUACUGGGCGUAAAGCGUGCGCAGGCGGUUUGUUAAGACAGAUGUGAAAUCCCCGGGCUUAACCUGGGAACUGCAUUUGUGACUGGCAAGCUAGAGUAUGGCAGAGGGGGGUGGAAUUCCGCGUGUAGCAGCGAAAUGCGUAGAUAUGCGGAGGAACACCGAUGGCGAAGGCAGCCCCCUGGGCCAAUACUGACGCUCAUGCACGAAAGCGUGGGGAGCAAACAGGAUUAGAUACCCCUGUAGUCCCUGUCUCUUAUAC